CCUACGGGAGGCAGCAGUGAGGAAUAUUGGUCAAUGGCCGGAAGGCUGAACCAGCCAUGCCGCGUGAAGGUCAGUGCCCUAUGGGCGUUAAACUUCUUUUGUGCGGGAGCAAUAAUGGUCACGUGUGGCCAGACGAGAGUACCGUACGAAUAAGCAUCGGCUAACUCCGUGCCAGCAGCCGCGGUAAUACGGGGGAUGCAAGCGUUAUCCGGAUUUAUUGGGUUUAAAGGGUGCGUAGGCUGUGAGGUAAGUCAGCGGUGAAAUGCCCCCGCUCAACGGGGUGAAGUGCCAUUGAUACUGCCUGGCUGGAAUGUGGAUGCCGUGGGAGGAAUGUGUGGUGUAGCGGUGAAAUGCAUAGAUAUCACACAGAACACCGAUUGCGAAGGCAUCUCACGAAGCCGCGAUUGACGCUGAUGCACGAAAGCGUGGGUAUCAAACAGGAUUAGAUACCCCAGUAGUC
This 460-nucleotide ribosomal RNA is filed under the name uncultured bacterium. RNAcentral describes it as "partial 16S ribosomal RNA". It matches the Rfam family "Bacterial small subunit ribosomal RNA", at positions 338 to 795 of the family's 1533-position model. The record is from RNAcentral.